AUCCGGACGACGAGUCCCAAAUAGGACGAAACGGGCAUCCUGGAU
Trichobilharzia regenti is the source of this 45-nucleotide non-coding RNA. The record is from Rfam. Lineage: Eukaryota; Metazoa; Platyhelminthes; Trematoda; Strigeidida; Schistosomatidae.